AUGAAGUUUCUUUAUGUGUUACCUGGCUGGGAGGGUUCAGUUUCAUACUCAAGAGUUUUGCGUGAUGCAAUGAGGACAAACCACAAAGAUGCUUUUGUUGUGCCUAAGGGGAAAUACUUUUUAGUGGAUGCUGGUUAUACCAAUGGAGAAGGAUUUCUAGCUCCAUUCAGGUCCACUCGGUAUCAUCUAAAAGAAUGGGCUGCAAGUGUACAACAACCUCAAUCCGAGAGGGAGUUAUAUAACUUGCGCCAUUCUCGUGCUAGGAAUGUAGUGGAGCGAACAUUUGGCUUGUUCGAGAAAAAAUGGGCUAUCUUGCGUUCCCAGUCCUUCUUUGCCAUAAAGGAUCAGGUACCAAAGGUAAAUAUGGUGUCAAAUAAAAUAAAUCUGUGA
This 390-nucleotide ribosomal RNA is filed under the name Triticum aestivum (bread wheat). Its description in RNAcentral is "partial small subunit ribosomal RNA". Lineage: Eukaryota; Viridiplantae; Streptophyta; Magnoliopsida; Poales; Poaceae. The record is from RNAcentral.